CCUACGGGGGGCAGCAGUGGGGAAUAUUGCACAAUGGGGGAAACCCUGAUGCAGCGACGCCGCGUGAGUGAAGAAGUCUUUCCGUGUGGAAAGCUCUAUCAGCAGGGGAGAAAAUGACGGUACCUGAUUAAGAAGCCCCGGCUAACUACGUGCCAGUAGCCGCGGUAAUACGGAGGGGGCAAGCGGUAUCCGGAUUUACUGGGUGUAAAGGGAGCGUAGACGGCAGCACAAGUCUGGAGUGAAAUGCCGGGGCUUAACCCCGGAACCGCUGUGGAAACUGUGCAGCUAGAGUGCAGGAGAGGUAAGUGGAAUUCCUAGUGUAGCGGUGAAAUGCGUAGAUAUUACGAGGAACACCAGUUGCGAAGGCAGCUUACUGGACUGUAACUGACGUUGAGGCUCGAAAGCGUGGGGAGCAAACAGGAUUAGAUACCCUGGUAGUC
This 440-nucleotide ribosomal RNA is filed under the name uncultured bacterium. RNAcentral describes it as "partial 16S ribosomal RNA". It matches the Rfam family "Bacterial small subunit ribosomal RNA", at positions 338 to 795 of the family's 1533-position model. The record is from RNAcentral.